UGGGGAAUCUUGGUCAAUGGGCGCAAGCCUGAACCAGCGACGCCGCGUGGGUGAUGAAGGCCUUCGGGUUGUAAAGCCCUGUGGGGAGGGACGAAAACGUCAUGGGCGAAUAGGCCAUGGCCUUGACGGUACCUCCUUAGCAAGCACCGGCUAACUCUGUGCCAGCAGCCGCGGUAAGACAGAGGGUGCAAACGUUGCUCGGAAUUACUGGGCGUAAAGCGCGUGUAGGCGGACACAUAAGUCAGGUGUGAAAUCCCUGGGCUCAACCCAGGAACUGCAUUUGAAACUGCGUGUCUUGAGUGUCGGAGAGGAAAGCGGAAUUCCUGGUGUAGAGGUGAAAUUCGUAGAUAUCAGGAGGAACACCGGUGGCGAAGGCGGCUUUCUGGACGAUUACUGACGCUGAGACGCGAAAGCGUGGGGAGCAAACAGG
This 430-nucleotide ribosomal RNA is filed under the name uncultured Myxococcales bacterium. Its description in RNAcentral is "bacterial SSU rRNA". It matches the Rfam family "Bacterial small subunit ribosomal RNA", at positions 355 to 776 of the family's 1533-position model. The record is from RNAcentral. Lineage: Bacteria; Pseudomonadati; Myxococcota; Myxococcia; Myxococcales.